UACAGAGAGUGCAAACGUUGUUCGGAAUUACUGGGCUUGAAGCGCACGUAGGCGGCGUUGUAAGUGUCGGGUGAAAUCCCACGGCUCACCCGUGGAACUGCCCGGCAUACUGCGAUGCUAGAGUGUGGUAGGGGAGAGCGGAACUCCUGGUGGAGCGGUGAAAUGCGUAGAUAUCAGGAGGAACACCGGUGGCGAAGGCGGCUCUCUGGUCCACAACUGACGUUGAGGUGCGAAAGCUAGGGGAGCAAACGGG
RNAcentral lists this ribosomal RNA (253 nucleotides) under uncultured bacterium. RNAcentral describes it as "partial 16S ribosomal RNA". It matches the Rfam family "Bacterial small subunit ribosomal RNA", at positions 524 to 776 of the family's 1533-position model. The record is from RNAcentral.